This 958-nucleotide ribosomal RNA is filed under the name uncultured bacterium. RNAcentral describes it as "bacterial SSU rRNA". It matches the Rfam family "Bacterial small subunit ribosomal RNA", at positions 543 to 1501 of the family's 1533-position model. The record is from RNAcentral.
UCAGGGCAUUAUUGGGCGUAAGAGCUCGUAGGUGGUUUGUUACGUCUGCUGUGAAAACCUAGGGCUUAACCCUGGGCCUGCAGUGGAUACGGGCAGACUAGAGGUAGGUAGGGGAGAAUGGAAUUCCCGGUGUAGCGGUGAAAUGCGCAGAUAUCGGGAGGAACACCGGUGGCGAAGGCGGUUCUCUGGGCCUUACCUGACACUGAGGAGCGAAAGCGUGGGGAGCGAACAGGAUUAGAUACCCUGGUAGUCCACGCCGUAAACGUUGGGCGCUAGGUGUGGGGUCCUUCCACGGAUUCCGUGCCGCAGCUAACGCAUUAAGCGCCCCGCCUGGGGAGUACGGCCGCAAGGCUAAAACUCAAAGGAAUUGACGGGGGCCCGCACAAGCGGCGGAGCAUGUUGCUUAAUUCGAUGCAACGCGAAGAACCUUACCAAGGUUUGACAUGCAGGGAAAAGCCGUAGAGAUACGGUGUCCGUAAGGGUCCUGCACAGGUGGUGCAUGGCUGUCGUCAGCUCGUGUCGUGAGAUGUUGGGUUAAGUCCCGCAACGAGCGCAACCCUCGUUCUAUGUUGCCAGCGGAUAAUGCCGGGAACUCAUAGGAGACUGCCGGGGUCAACUCGGAGGAAGGUGGGGAUGACGUCAAGUCCUCAUGCCCCUUAUAUCUUGGGCUGCAAACAUGCUACAAUGGCCGGUACAGAGGGCUGCGAGACCGCAAGGUGGAGCGAAUCUCAAAAAGCCGGUCUCAGUUCGGAUUGGGGUCUGCAACUCGACCCCAUGAAGUCGGAGUCGCUAGUAAUCGCGAAUCAGCAACGUCGCGGUGAAUACGUUCCCGGGCCUUGUACACACCGCCCGUCACGUCACGAAAGUUGGCAACACCCGAAGCCGGUGGCCUAACCCGCAAGGGAGGGAGCCGUCGAAGUGGGGCCAGCGAUUGGGACGAAGUCGUAACAAGGUAACC